GCUCCGCUAGCUCAGUUGGUUAGAGCGUGGUGCUAAUAACGCCAAGGUCACAGGUUCGACCCCUGUGCGGAGCA
Molecule: transfer RNA, 74 nt
Organism: Spizellomyces punctatus DAOM BR117
Lineage: Eukaryota; Fungi; Chytridiomycota; Chytridiomycetes; Spizellomycetales; Spizellomycetaceae
Rfam family: tRNA
About the family: Transfer RNA (tRNA) molecules are approximately 80 nucleotides in length. Their secondary structure includes four short double-helical elements and three loops (D, anti-codon, and T loops). Further hydrogen bonds mediate the characteristic L-shaped molecular structure. tRNAs have two regions of fundamental functional importance: the anti-codon, which is responsible for specific mRNA codon recognition, and the 3' end, to which the tRNAs corresponding amino acid is attached (by aminoacyl-tRNA synthetases). tRNAs cope with the degeneracy of the genetic code in two manners: having more than one tRNA (with a specific anti-codon) for a particular amino acid; and 'wobble' base-pairing, i.e. permitting non-standard base-pairing at the 3rd anti-codon position.
Source: Rfam